GUGGGGAAUCUUGCGCAAUGGGCGAAAGCCUGACGCAGCCAUGCCGCGUGAAUGAUGAAGGUCUUAGGAUUGUAAAAUUCUUUCACCGGGGACGAUAAUGACGGUACCCGGAGAAGAAGCCCCGGCUAACUUCGUGCCAGCAGCCGCGGUAAUACGAAGGGGGCUAGCGUUGCUCGGAAUUACUGGGCGUAAAGGGCGCGUAGGCGGACAGUUUAGUCAGAGGUGAAAGCCCAGGGCUCAACCUUGGAAUUGCCUUUGAUACUGGCUGGCUUGAGUACGGGAGAGGUGAGUGGAACUCCGAGUGUAGAGGUGAAAUUCGUAGAUAUUCGGAAGAACACCAGUGGCGAAGGCGACUCACUGGCCCGUUACUGACGCUGAGGCGCGAAAGCGUGGGGAGCAAACAGGAUUAGAUACCCUGGUAGUCC
Molecule: ribosomal RNA, 425 nt
Filed under: uncultured bacterium
Lineage: Bacteria
Description: partial 16S ribosomal RNA
Rfam family: Bacterial small subunit ribosomal RNA
Source: RNAcentral